CUGCCCUUAAGUGGGGGAUAACAUUUGGAAACAGAUGCUAAUACCGCAUAAAUCCAAGAACCGCAUGGUUCUUGGCUGAAAGAUGGCGUAAGCUAUCGCUUUUGGAUGGACCCGCGGCGUAUUAGCUAGUUGGUGAGGUAACGGCUCACCAAGGCAAUGAUACGUAGCCGAACUGAGAGGUUGAUCGGCCACAUUGGGACUGAGACACGGCCCAAACUCCUACGGGAGGCAGCAGUAGGGAAUCUUCCACAAUGGACGCAAGUCUGAUGGAGCAACGCCGCGUGAGUGAAGAAGGCUUUCGGGUCGUAAAACUCUGUUGUUGGAGAAGAAUGGUCGGCAGAGUAACUGUUGUCGGCGUGACGGUAUCCAACCAGAAAGCCACGGCUAACUACGUGCCAGCAGCCGCGGUAAUACGUAGGUGGCAAGCGUUAUCCGGAUUUAUUGGGCGUAAAGCGAGCGCAGGCGGUUUUUUAAGUCUGAUGUGAAAGCCCUCGGCUUAACCGAGGAAGUGCAUCGGAAACUGGGAAACUUGAGUGCAGAAGAGGACAGUGGAACUCCAUGUGUAGCGGUGAAAUGCGUAGAUAUAUGGAAGAACACCAGUGGCGAAGGCGGCUGUCUGGUCUGUAACUGACGCUGAGGCUCGAAAGCAUGGGUAGCGAACAGGAUUAGAUACCCUGGUAGUCCAUGCCGUAAACGAUGAAUGCUAGGUGUUGGAGGGUUUCCGCCCUUCAGUGCCGCAGCUAACGCAUUAAGCAUUCCGCCUGGGGAGUACGACCGCAAGGUUGAAACUCAAAGGAAUUGACGGGGGCCCGCACAAGCGGUGGAGCAUGUGGUUUAAUUCGAAGCAACGCGAAGAACCUUACCAGGUCUUGACAUCUUUUGAUCACCUGAGAGAUCAGGUUUCCCCUUCGGGGGCAAAAUGACAGGUGGUGCAUGGUUGUCGUCAGCUCGUGUCGUGAGAUGUUGGGUUAAGUCCCGCAACGAGCGCAACCCUUAUGACUAGUUGCCAGCAUUUAGUUGGGCACUCUAGUAAGACUGCCGGUGACAAACCGGAGGAAGGUGGGGAUGACGUCAAAUCAUCAUGCCCCUUAUGACCUGGGCUACACACGUGCUACAAUGGAUGGUACAACGAGUUGCGAGACCGCGAGGUCAAGCUAAUCUCUUAAAGCCAUUCUCAGUUCGGACUGUAGGCUGCAACUCGCCUACACGAAGUCGGAAUCGCUAGUAAUCGCGGAUCAGCACGCCGCGGUGAAUACGUUCCCGGGCCUUGUACACACCGCCCGUCACACCAUGAGAGUUUGUAACACCCGA
RNAcentral lists this ribosomal RNA (1311 nucleotides) under Lacticaseibacillus rhamnosus. RNAcentral describes it as "bacterial SSU rRNA". It matches the Rfam family "Bacterial small subunit ribosomal RNA", at positions 126 to 1424 of the family's 1533-position model. The record is from RNAcentral. Lineage: Bacteria; Bacillati; Bacillota; Bacilli; Lactobacillales; Lactobacillaceae.